RNAcentral lists this ribosomal RNA (433 nucleotides) under uncultured bacterium. RNAcentral describes it as "partial 16S ribosomal RNA". It matches the Rfam family "Bacterial small subunit ribosomal RNA", at positions 29 to 507 of the family's 1533-position model. The record is from RNAcentral.
AACGAACGCUGGCGGCAGGCCUAACACGUGCAAGUCGAGCGAGGACUUCGGUUCUAGCGGCGGACGGGUGAGUAACGCGUGGGAAUGUGCCCUUCUCUACGGAAUAGCCCUGGGAAACUGGGAGUAAUACCGUAUACGCCCUUUUGGGGAAAGAUUUAUCGGAGAAGGAUCAGCCCGCGUUGGAUUAGGUAGUUGGUGGGGUAAUGGCCUACCAAGCCGACGAUCCAUAGCUGGUUUGAGAGGAUGAUCAGCCACACUGGGACUGAGACACGGCCCAGACUCCUACGGGAGGCAGCAGUGGGGAAUCUUAGACAAUGGGGGCAACCCUGAUCUAGCCAUGCCGCGUGAGUGAUGAAGGCCUUAGGGUUGUAAAGCUCUUUCAGCUGGGAAGAUAAUGACGGUACCAGCAGAAGAAGCCCCGGCUAACUCCGUG